GGACACGCUGGAGAGACUAUGUCUCUCGGCUGGAACGACCUGGAAGCGAGGAUGAGGACAAUCACAGACCUCAAUGAAAAGGCAUGGCCUGAAACAUAUGCAUCAAGGCCCCUACAAAGUCCUUGAUAUGUCAGAAAAUGGCGUGGCCACCAUCCAAAAGAACACUGGGUCCUUGCAGAAGGUGAAUAUCAAUCGCCUGAGGCCGUACUACAGACAGAAACAUUAACAGUCUAAAGGACUGUGUAGGAGAGAGUGAUCAAAUCUGAGCUGGACAUCUACGUCAAUUGUGUUUAAAUGACAUCGUUCCAGUCUCCACUCUCGAGGUGCAGUUCCAGGGAAGGAAGCUCUUGAGAGGAGAGUGCAGCAUCCCAACACAAGACACUGAGGAAAAGAUGAAGAUGAUCGGGAGACUGCACUGUUGACAAUCAUCCUUCUGCCUUAAGCACCUACAUACCUGUAUGCUCCAGAUUCAGAUUGCUUCAGUCUUUCUCUCUCUCUUUCUCUAUCAACCCCAACCGGUCAA
Scomber japonicus (chub mackerel) is the source of this 523-nucleotide long non-coding RNA. RefSeq lists it as uncharacterized. The transcript is spliced from 5 exons. The record is from RefSeq and is a predicted model, not a curated record. Lineage: Eukaryota; Metazoa; Chordata; Actinopteri; Scombriformes; Scombridae.